Molecule: ribosomal RNA, 809 nt
Filed under: uncultured Arthrobacter sp.
Lineage: Bacteria; Bacillati; Actinomycetota; Actinomycetes; Micrococcales; Micrococcaceae
Description: bacterial SSU rRNA
Rfam family: Bacterial small subunit ribosomal RNA
Source: RNAcentral
UCGACGAUGACUUUUGUGCUUGCACAGAAUGAUUAGUGGCGAACGGGUGAGUAACACGUGAGUAACCUGCCCCUGACUCUGGGAUAAGCCUGGGAAACUGGGUCUAAUACCGGAUAUGCACCGUGGACCGCAUGGUUUUUGGUGGAAAGAUUUUUUGGUCAGGGAUGGACUCGCGGCCUAUCAGCUUGUUGGUGAGGUAAUGGCUCACCAAGGCGACGACGGGUAGCCGGCCUGAGAGGGUGACCGGCCACACUGGGACUGAGACACGGCCCAGACUCCUACGGGAGGCAGCAGUGGGGAAUAUUGCACAAUGGGCGAAAGCCUGAUGCAGCGACGCCGCGUGAGGGAUGACGGCCUUCGGGUUGUAAACCUCUUUCAGUAGGGAAGAAGCGAAAGUGACGGUACCUGCAGAAGAAGCGCCGGCUAACUACGUGCCAGCAGCCGCGGUAAUACGUAGGGCGCAAGCGUUAUCCGGAAUUAUUGGGCGUAAAGAGCUCGUAGGCGGUUUGUCGCGUCUAUCGUGAAAGUCCGAGGCUCAACCUCGGAUCUGCGGUGGGUACGGGCAGACUAGAGUGAUGUAGGGGAGACUGGAAUUCCUGGUGUAGCGGUGAAAUGCGCAGAUAUCAGGAGGAACACCGAUGGCGAAGGCAGGUCUCUGGGCAUUAACUGACGCUGAGGAGCGAAAGCAUGGGGAGCGAACAGGAUUAGAUACCCUGGUAGUCCAUGCCGUANACGUUGGGCACUAGGUGUGGGGNACAUUCCACGUUUUCCGCGCCGUAGCUAACGCAUUAAGUGCCCCGCCUGGGGAG